AGCAGAUAUAAGGGUGCGGGCCUGCCCUGGGUCUCUGUGGAUGUAGAGAGGCAGUGUGAAGUUUUACCUCACCUCAUUUCCUUUGGCAGUAGCAUUGCUACCAAGCAUGUACUCUAAUAGUGAGGAUGAGGCAUCAGAGGCCAAAACUGCGCCCAACAUGUUCAAUGAGAAGGUGUUCACCAGGCAGUACACUGUCCUGAAGACCUUGGGCCAGGGUGGCACUACUGAAGUGAGGCUAUGCUCCCAUCGCCUCACAGGUGCCCAUGUUGUAGUCAAAGGGCUUGUGAAUCGUGGCAGGUGGUCGGAGCCAAUGGUGCCAGAAGUUGAAAUCAUGAAGAUGCUCAGCCACCCGAACAUUGUUUCCCUUCUGCAAGUGAUAGAAACAGAACAGAACAUUUAUCUAAUUAUGGAAGUGGCCCAAGGACAACAGUUACGACAUCGAGUCCAGGAGGCUGGAUGCCUGAAGGAAGAUGAAGCUAGAAGCAUAUUUGUUCAGUUGCUCAGUGCCAUAGAAUACUGUCAUGGUGAAGGCAUUGUUCACAGAGACCUAAAGCCUGACAAUGUCAUAGUGGAUGAGCAUGGAAAUAUCAAAAUUAUUGACUUUGGGCUAGGUGCCAGAUUCGUGCCUGGGCAAAAACUGCAAAGGUUGUGCGGAGCCUUCCAGUUCAUUCCUCCGGAGAUAUUCCUAGGGCAUCCUUACGAUGGCCCAAAAGUAGACAUGUGGGCCUUGGGGGUUCUUCUGUAUUAUAUGGUGACAGGAUUUGUUCCAUUUACAGGGACCACCUUGGCAAAUAUUAGCAAGAAUGUUCUUCAAGGGAAGUAUGAAAUCCCUUAUAAUCUCUCUAAAAAUGUAAGGAGUGUACUUGGCCUGUUAUUGACAGCAGAUGCAAGGCAGAGGCCAACCGCACAAGACCUCCUAAGUCAUCCAUGGCUUCAAGAAGGAGAAAAGACUUUGACAUUUAAUUCCAAUGGAGACACCAGCUUCCCAGACCCUGACUUAGUGGCGGCCAUGCAAAACAUAGGGUUUUAUGAGGAGGAGAUCAGAGAAUCACUAAAACACAAAAAGUUUGAUGAAACUAUGGCUACAUAUUACUUACUGAGAGUUCAGGCAUGUCAGGAUGAUGGAAAUUAUGUCCAAACAAAGGUAAUGAAUCCAGGAGUAACACCUUUCCCUUCAGCAGCAGACCCUGACUCUUUCCCUCUGCCUCCCAGGAGAAGGGCCAGUGAACCUUGCCUUAAAAUAUUAAUCUCAUCUACUGAAAGACAUCCUCUAAGACAAAGUUGGGGGACAAAUGCUCCUGUUCCACUCAGGAAGACACCCACGAGGGGCAGAGGUCACAAACGGUCCAUGACUGCCCCGUGUCUUUGCUUACUAAGGAGCACUCUGGUGCAUGUAGAAGAUAGCAGCUUUUGUACUAGCUCCCAGUCAGAAAAGGCCUCAAGUGACCCAGAACAGAGUGGGACUUUAACUUCAAGCUCCCUGCAGCCUCGGGGCUGGGCAAAAUGGAAGAAGAGGAUUGGAUCAUGCCUCCGAACACUGUGUUGCUGCAUGUCACCUCCCAAGAAGGGUCCAAGGAAGGUGUGGCACCAAAAGUGAGAGGACACCAGAAGACGACAAGAAGUACAAGGCAUGGUUCAGUGGCAGCCACAAGAUACUGAGAUCCAUGGUUCUAUGGUCCUUGUGUUGCUACUUCAGAUGUGGACACAGAGAUGCAGAAAGAAAAGCAUGGGAAACUGUUGUGAGCUUCUCUUUCCUGGCCUACAAUGCUCCUUUGGCUAGGAAGGAGCUUUUUCCUGAUUGGCUUCUCCUCACCCAGUGCGUGCAGAAGCCCCACCAUUCAGCAGAUAAGUCUAAAUUUUCUCAGUCUUCCUCUCAAUGGCUCUGGCUUCUGAUACCUGAUACCUAAGAUACCUGACAUCAGAGGAAGAGUAGAGACUUCACAGCCAGAUCCAUAAGCCUGCUUUUCAAAGAAAGGAGGGAGACUGAGGCUGCUCUCAAGACCUUCCGGCAGUGGACCACCCAGACUUGAUGCUCCAGCUCAGGCUGCGAGGACAUUCCUGCUCCUUCCACUAAAACUCAACAUGCAGUUGCAGCGGGGGACUGGCUCCUGUGGAGGGGACCUAUCUACAGUUCUGCCUUCUGAGACCUGUUGCUUCUGGGACCUGCCAUUCACAGAGAACUCUUCUUCCUUGACUUUGGGGACCUCCUAGAGCUGAUGGUUAUAUCUCUCCCAGUCUUUCUUGAUUAGCAUUCUACUGCCAAUGAGAGUCUUAGGGUUUCUAUUUAGGGGGGGUGUCUAUUUAUAUAUUUAGUUGUCUGUUUCCAUGUUGGAAGUAAAACUGCCUGAUUUUG
This is an RNA transcript of Mastomys coucha (southern multimammate mouse), 2353 nucleotides long. It is a transcript of the gene named sperm motility kinase Z-like, with no coding region annotated. NCBI's taxonomy places the organism in Eukaryota, Metazoa, Chordata, Mammalia, Rodentia, Muridae. The record is from RefSeq and is a predicted model, not a curated record. The transcript is spliced from 4 exons.